RNAcentral lists this ribosomal RNA (497 nucleotides) under uncultured bacterium. Its description in RNAcentral is "partial 16S ribosomal RNA". It matches the Rfam family "Bacterial small subunit ribosomal RNA", at positions 28 to 507 of the family's 1533-position model. The record is from RNAcentral.
GAUGAACGCUGGCGGCGGGCCUAAUACAUGCAAGUCGAGCGAACAGACGAGGAGCUUGCUCCUCUGACGUUAGCGGCGGACGGGUGAGUAACACGUGGAUAACCUACCUAUAAGACUGGGAUAACUUCGGGAAACCGGAGCUAAUACCGGAUAAUAUAUUGAACCGCAUGGUUCAAUAGUGAAAGACGGUUUUGCUGUCACUUAUAGAUGGAUCCGCGCCGCAUUAGCUAGUUGGUAAGGUAACGGCUUACCAAGGCAACGAUGCGUAGCCGACCUGAGAGGGUGAUCGGCCACACUGGAACUGAGACACGGUCCAGACUCCUACGGGAGGCAGCAGUAGGGAAUCUUCCGCAAUGGGCGAAAGCCUGACGGAGCAACGCCGCGUGAGUGAUGAAGGUCUUCGGAUCGUAAAACUCUGUUAUUAGGGAAGAACAAAUGUGUAAGUAACUAUGCACGUCUUGACGGUACCUAAUCAGAAAGCCACGGCUAACUACGUG